AUCGCGCUACUUGGGCGGUGGCUUCUAUAUUCGUCUGUUUUCCACUAUAACUCAGUCAAUCUUGAACCAAUUGACACAAUUCUUGGAAUGCGGUGAGAUAGGUAUAGUAUCUACCCGUGUACAAAAUUUCAAGUCAAUCGGUUCAAAAUUGACCGAGUUACAGUGGAAAACAGACGAAAAUAACAGACGAAGAAAACCACCGCCCAAGUAGCGCGAUACCCUAUAUCAAAUAGUAACAGUAUGGCAUAGAGCUUGUUGACGUUUAUUCUCUUUCAAACAUGCAGGCGGAAUAGGAUUUGUUGUCAUCAGGAAAGGUUUCCCGAUGAAAACAAAUCCUCCCGCCUGCAAGCUUGAAAGAGAGAGAUGAAUAAACGUCAGCAAGCUCUAUAGUAUACAUGCACUGUUAAAUAAUAUGGGGAUAGAAGUCGCUCUAAAUUGUAGCAACAUAAACUCACCUUAUAACAUAUGGUUAGCUUUCAUAUUUGAGAAACGCACUCACACCUGUGUGUUUCACUGUGCACAACAUUUGCUUAACAGUUUGGCAAAUUGUAGCGCUCAUUAGUAGUAGUGAGCGGCAUAAUUGACAACAAACCGCACUUCUUUUUUAUCGAGCAGCAGCAGACGACCAAUUUAAUGUAAAAUAAUUUCUACAAAAUCCGGCCUAAUCAGCUCCAAAUUAGGAAUCUUCGUGAAAGCGCAGAGAGGAUUUGCCGGAGCGAAAACCUGGAUCACAAGCUUACAUCCUCGAAGGAAAAUGCCACACAUCGGCUGGAGGAACUCAGAAUGUGCUGCAGACGUACCAGCAGGAUACACGGCGAUUAGAAAUCCGCUCACAACGCAGGAAGUUUUAAUCGCCGCUACCGGGUGUACGAUAGGUAACCUCGCGAGUGGAGGAAUUUCAGCAGCCCUCGAAAUGGCCCGAGAUGCUUCUCCUUCAAUGCAGAUUACGCUGCUCGAUAUGAUGCGAGGAGGUCUUGCGAGAAAGGUAAACCAUCUUUUUCAUCCACAAAUAUAAUGAUAAAUAUUAGUUGAAUAAAAACAUAUCCGGUGAACGCACAACCGCCCUUUUAUUUUUUAACGGUUCAAAUGCACAAGACCCAAAGUCCAAAUAAAGUCGUAGCACUCGGGCUCAGACUGGGUACCAACUCUAGUACUUCAUUUGGUCCCCGGUACCCAAAUUUGACAUUUGACUGAAUACCUCAUUUUAUAUUAACAUUGUUUAAGUAUGCUAUGACAAUGAACCGAGCCCAACACUGAAUCCAAUGUCAAAUUUCAAAUUCGUGUGUUGUCACACCGUUGUGUGUUGUUCUUUGUUAGUUUUGUCCACAACCAGAGGGAGGGCUCCAUCCACGCAAGCUUUUUGGUGUGGGGGUCAGUAAAAAUACUAUUUUUUUUACUGAAACAUAAAUUUUGACCAUUUUGACUUAGAAAAGUACGGCCAAAGAUCCGGCUGGUCACAGCACAGCCACGGCCGCUUUCGAAGUGGAUAGUCAUGACCAUAAUGUGUCUCUCGUGUCCCAGAGCGUAAAACAGGGGGAAUUUUUUUGGUGGAGUUUUCCUAAAUUACCAGGAGUAUUUAAUUAACGUAAUGGACGAUUUAUUGUGCGGAAAGAAGAAAAUGUGAGUUAUUCAGAGAUGCGGCCGCGGUCGUCAGGCCAGAGAGUUGCUGUAGCAAAAUUGAGGAGUGAUCGGUAUGGGCAAUGACCAUAGCGCAUUCGUACAUCGACCAGAAUUGCUGGGUCGCGGCCAAAAAUCGAAACAACAGCUAUCGAUGCAUCGAGGAGCGACGGUCACCGGCCAUAGAUGAUAGGAAAGCGGCCGGAAAGGCCGGCAACUGUAGUUAAUCCGGAGGCGGUUGGAAUGGCCGGCAACUAUAAAGCAUUCGUACUUGGCCAAUUUGCGUUCAGAAAACCGCAUGGCUGACGACUGUGAAUAAUCAGGAACCGUUUCCGUUUCCUAAAAUAAAAUAAAAAUAAAUGUUUAAAUGUUGGAAGAAAAUGGUCAUUUAAUACGCUACCCACCAGAGUCUGAAUUUUUCGUGUUUAUAUUUGUAUAAACAAGAGAUUGUUACCCAAAGCAACAUUAGCGGAGUACAAGGUAACAUUAUACUAAGGUAUUAUAUCUUUUUGAUCUAGUACUUCAUGAACCCCGAAAUUUCACACUAAUGUAUGGGAGUUCGACGACUUAAUUUGGACUUUGCAAGACCCAUAUAUCAAAAGCUUAAAAAACCAUGGAAAACCAUAAAUCAAUAAUAACACAUACAGUGUUCGUUUUUCUCCCAGAUUUAUUGUUAAACUGCUCUCUAACCAUUUUCUAUACAGUGAAUUGUCUGAAAAACUGGACAAUAUAUUGACCGUAUUCUUUACUGUAUUGCGAAAAAUUUGUUCGAGAAAACGAGCGAUUUUUUAUGGUAACCAAUCUUAACCGCCUAUUCCACAUACUGUAAAUUGGCAGAUAACCAUUUGUCAAACUGGCAAAUAUGUACCUGGAAUGGUUAGCUUACUGUUAUCUACAAUAGUAUGAGAAAUGGUUAAAUGACAAUUGCUAAUGGUCAUCUACAGUAUGAGAAACGUUGCAUUUACAGUUUGUGAUUAUGCGGGAUUAUUUAAUAUAUCUGGCGUUCUAUUUGAAUAGGUCGAAUCUACAUAGGGAUCACAGCAAACUUAGGACCUAUUCAAAUCGAACGCCUGAUAUAUUUGAUUAUUGUCAUUUGCAAUGGAUCAUGCAAUGCCGAGUGCAAUGCAAUGGAUCAUUGCAAUGAAGAAAACUAUUUUAGCAUUCGUCGUGUCGCCAAAGUCCAAAUAAAGUCGUUCAACUCCCAUACAUUGGUGUGAAAUUUCGAGGUUCAUGAAGUACUAGACCAAAAAAAUAUAAUACCUGCGUAUAAUGAUACCUUGCGCGCUUCUGCAAAUUGAAUAUCUAGUACUCCACUAAUGUUGCUAUGAGUAACUACUGUUCAAACAAAUAUAAACAAGAAAAAAUCAAUCUCCGGAAAAGGAAGUAUUUAACUGUUAGAAAAUUGGAAGCAUCCUUCAUCAGCCUUCGUUGUGCAACUUUGGUAACGAGUCCUCGUCGUCGUCAAUUAUGAGAGCGUCCCUUGGAGUGUCCUUAAUCGAAAAUCCAAUUCCAACUCCCAGGCCAAAAAGUGUAACGAACCCAAUGAGACCCCCACCGACUUACCACCCCGUCGCCCCGUUUACCAGCCUGACGAUGUCACCGUUCCUAUCUCCAACGUCGCUAUUCCUAUUCCCCCCCAUCGUCCGGACGGGGCCCCGUUCUUGCUUGAUCCAAGCGUUACCGGCCGGCCAAACACUCUACAUAAUAGUGUAGAAUUAGUUUUAAAAGUUAAAAUAUACAUUAAUAUAAUUUAGAAAAAAAAACUACACGAACACACCCUAGGUAUGUUUGUUAAUAAAUGAAUGAGAAAAAGUAAUCCCACGCGUUUGAAUUUAUGAUUCGUGGACGAAAACCGUAUUGGGAGCUGGACCUCUAGAGCUGAUCCUCUGAAGCUCAAACUAGUUGUCCCUUGUAAAGAGCUCAGAUUAUACCUAGCAUGAGAGUCUUUAGAGAGUUGAGACAACGCAAGAGUUUGACAUGUUGCAUUCAGUGUUGAUAUCUACGUUGGUUGUCAUAGGUUACUAAAGAACAAGUUCAAUAAAAAUGAGGUAUACAGUCAAAUGUCAAACUUGGGUACCGGGGACCAAAUGCAGUACUAGAAUUGGUACCCAGUCUGAGCCCGAGUGCUACGACUUUAUUUGGACUUUGGUGUCGCCGUUAGUACACAGGGUCAAAUAUUUAACAAGGAAAGAACUCAAGAAAUAACAUCAGUUUGACACUGAUGAAAAUUCGAUCAAGUCAAACAAGAUAUUGGAGCAUUUUGGUAUUUGGAAAGUGAGAAUACAGUCAUGACUCGCUGGUUGGGGGCUUAAUAGUUGGGUGGCUUUUUAGUUGGGGCCCCGUUAGUUGAGCUGUCAGCCAACUAAAAAGUACCUGGAUGUCAUAAUUCAAUGUCAAACUGAAAAUGACAACCAAUCUGUAAUUCCGAGGGGCGAGCUAAUGAGUUUUUGGUUACUUAAACUUUACUGAUAAUCGAGAAGAAAUUCUAUUUCAUAUUUCUUAAAAAUAAAAAAAUAUGUACAAUUACUUCGAAACAAAUGCAAAACAUCGGCAAUCUUUAUUUUGUCAAUCAUUGAAAGUGUUUUGUGCUUGCUUUUGGUCCGGGUGGUUUCAUAAACAUCUAUAUUUUCACUUCACCGACUGAAAAUGGGUGAAAAUAAUUAUUUCUCGCAUUGGCCAUAUAUUUAUCUUGCAAAACGUAUCAAUUUUGCUCUAAAUGUAAAACAAAUUGAAACAUUUUCCUUUUUGCUUCCAACCUAAACAUGAUUUAAAAAAAAACAAUGCGCACACCCCUUGUGCUACUGUCACUUCACCCAACUAGCGAAUCGAAUUCGUUGGUUGGGUGGAGGUUGUGGCUCAACGAGCGGGUUCCGACUGUAUUUCAUGAUGGCCCAGGGGGAAUGACACUUCCUUUGCUAACCGGAAAAAUCCGCAUUUUAUCCGUUGCUAACCGUACAGGUAAAUGCGGAUUUCCCGGUUAGAAAAGGAUAUGUCAUUCCCCCUGUAUAUUUCACA
Molecule: long non-coding RNA, 4632 nt
Organism: Aedes albopictus (Asian tiger mosquito)
Lineage: Eukaryota; Metazoa; Arthropoda; Insecta; Diptera; Culicidae
Exons: 3
Source: RefSeq, a predicted model, not a curated record